RNAcentral lists this small RNA (125 nucleotides) under Marmota monax (woodchuck). The record is from RNAcentral. Lineage: Eukaryota; Metazoa; Chordata; Mammalia; Rodentia; Sciuridae.
GCCAGGUGUGGUGGUGCACGCCUGUAAUCCCAGUGGCUUGGGAGGCUGAGACAGAAGAAUCGGGAGUUCAAAGCCAGCUUCAGCAAUGGCAAGUCACUGAGCAACUCAGUGAGACCCUGUCUCUA